Molecule: ribosomal RNA, 398 nt
Filed under: uncultured bacterium
Lineage: Bacteria
Description: bacterial SSU rRNA
Rfam family: Bacterial small subunit ribosomal RNA
Source: RNAcentral
AAUCAACGCUGGCGGCGUGCCUAACACAUGCAAGUCGAACGCGAAAGCCCGCAAGGGUAAGUAGAGUGGCGCACGGGUGAGUAACACGUGGACAACCUGCCUUCGAGUGGGGAAUAACCUUCCGAAAGGAGGGCUAAUACCGCAUAACACCUCGGGACACAAGUUUCUGGGGUUGAAAAGAGCAAUUUGCUCGAAGAGGGGUCCGCGCCUGAUUAGCUAGUUGGUGAGGUAACGGCUCACCAAGGCUUCGAUCAGUAGCCGUCCUGAGAGGGAGCACGGCCACACUGGAACUGAGACACGGUCCAGACUCCUACGGGAGGCAGCAGUGGGGAAUUUUUGGCAAUGGGCGAAAGCCUGACCAAGCAACGCCGCGUGGGUGAUGAAGUAUCUUGGUACGU